Molecule: ribosomal RNA, 460 nt
Filed under: uncultured bacterium
Lineage: Bacteria
Description: partial 16S ribosomal RNA
Rfam family: Bacterial small subunit ribosomal RNA
Source: RNAcentral
CCUACGGGAGGCAGCAGUGAGGAAUAUUGGUCAAUGGCCGGAAGGCUGAACCAGCCAUGCCGCGUGAAGGUCAGUGCCCUAUGGGCGUUAAACUUCUUUUGUGCGGGAGCAAUAAUGGUCACGUGUGGCCAGACGAGAGUUCCGUACGAAUAAGCAUCGGCUUAAUCCGUGCCAGCAGCCGCUGUUAUACCGGGGAAGCAGGCGUUUUCCGGAUUUUAUGGGUUUAAAGGGUGCGUAGGCUGUGAGGUAAGUCAGCGGGGAAAUGCCCCCGCUCAACGGGGUGAAGUGCCAUUGAUACUGGCUUGCUGGAAUGCGGAAGCCGUGGGAGGAAUGUGUGGUGUAGCGGUGAAAUGCAUAGAUAUCACACAGAACACCGAUUGCGAAGGCAUCUCACGAAUCCGCGAUUGACGCUGAUGCACGAAAGCGUGGGUAUCAAACAGGAUUAGAUACCCUUGUAGUC